Molecule: unclassified non-coding RNA, 5263 nt
Filed under: Apis florea (little honeybee)
Lineage: Eukaryota; Metazoa; Arthropoda; Insecta; Hymenoptera; Apidae
Description: casein kinase I, transcript variant X4
Source: RNAcentral
CCCAUGUCGAGUCGAGCGCGAGAGACAGGAGCGUAAGCUUGUCCGCGAUCGUUUGUCCGCGUUCGACAGGUCUUUCAAAUAUCGUGUGUGCAAUCAUUAAACGGUAUAUCUAAAGAUAAUCAUAUUUAUAUAAUCAGUUUUCGAAAUAAAAAUUUGGGAAGACUUGGGAAGUGAAGACUGCGAAGGAACUAUAGUUAAUACAGGCUUGUGUGUGGGCAUAUAAUAGCCGAUCGGGCAUACUGGUGACACGAUUGCGGAUUUUCCUUCAGCAAGAAAGAACAUACGAAGCUCGCAAAGUGCAUGUGCUAGUGUGCGUGUCACUGGAAAGAGUUCAGAGCCGCUUCGGCGGCGCUCCCAAAUCUAACCGCAGAAUCGAGUCUGUGGUGGUGAGGCCGCGGCACUAUCGGGGCACGAUUGAGUACGAUCACGAUCGCACGCGGCGGGGCCGUUUGUAAUGGAGGAGGUUUCCGAGUGUAUUCCCGUGCGACAGAACAGUCACGGCGAUGCACGCCGUAUUGACUGAGACGCGAUAUCUAUCGUUGACUAUUCCUCCCGGCCGGCCGGGUGAAAGAGGCAGGUCGAAAUUGGUAUGGAAUCGUCCAGGGUCCUCGACACGACGAACACUCUCUCCCGUCUGUGAUAAUUACUAGCCCCUUAAAAAGAGAUAGAAGAAGGGAAAAAGAGAGAGAUAGAGCUGUGUGUGUUUCGCGCGUGUUCUCAUCUGCUCUCUUCAUUACGUUUUUAAGUGUAAACAUUUCCCAAAAUUCAUUUCGAGGUUAGGAUAGCAUGGGGAUUGAUCCCCUGAAGGCAUCGACCGACAAACCGUGACACCUGCGACUCGCCGUGUUACGGUGUGUGCGUGUGUGUGCGUGCAUAUGUGUAUUCUCCCAGGAAGCCGCUGGAGUAUUAUUUUUCAUCGGCGGCCAUCCAAGGGAAGACCAAAGAAGAAAAUAUGUCAAGAAUGGGGAUCGAUCCCCAAUUAAAUGCCGUGCAUCGUUUACAUCAUUAAUUCGAUCCGGGACUAAUAUUGGCAAUUUUUUAUCAUACAAUCGAUCCUUUCUGUCACGUUAAACAGACUGUCGCGGAUUAUUCUGCCACGACAGAGGACACUCGCACCAUGCAGAAAAGAGACGGUAGAGAUACACAGCUACAGCUCGCGCGUAGCUCUGAACGCGAACAGGAAACGACCAAGAGGAUCUCUCGUGGUAGCGGUAAUGCUACCAGAUUCAACGCGUAUUCCUCCAGGUACAGUGUCACCUCCUCCUCUAAUGUACUCAUGGUCGGUCCGAACUUCCGUGUUGGCAAGAAAAUUGGCUCUGGCAACUUUGGAGAACUUCGACUUGGAAAGAACCUCUACAAUAACGAGCAUGUAGCAAUUAAAUUGGAACCAAUGAGGUCAAAGGCGCCGCAGCUACACUUAGAAUAUAGGUUUUACAAAUUAUUAGGAACUAGUGAGGGUGUACCAGAGGUGUAUUACUUCGGUCCUUGCGGGAAGUACAACGCUCUCGUGAUGGAACUUCUCGGACCAAGUCUGGAGGAUCUGUUCGAUCUCUGCGGUAGGAGGUUUACCCUAAAGACCGUUCUCAAAAUCGCCACACAGAUCCUCUAUAGGAUAGAAUACGUUCAUAGUCGGCAUUUGAUCUACCGCGAUAUCAAGCCUGAAAACUUCCUGAUAGGACGAUCCACAACGAAACGGGAAAAGAUUAUCCACAUCAUCGAUUUCGGACUGGCCAAAGAGUACAUAGACUUGGAGACGAACAAACACAUACCGUAUCGGGAACACAAAAGCCUGACGGGCACAGCGCGUUACAUGAGCAUCAACACGCACCUUGGAAAAGAGCAGAGCAGAAGAGACGAUCUGGAAGCGUUGGGCAACAUGCUGAUGUAUUUCCUGCGUGGUAGCCUUCCGUGGCAAGGGCUGAAAGCGGACACGCUGAAAGAACGAUAUCAGAAGAUCGGGGAUACGAAGCGGAACACACCGAUCGAGAUUCUUUGCGAUGGGCAUCCCGAAGAAAUGGCUACGUAUUUGCGAUAUGUGCGUAGAUUGGAUUUCUUCGAGACGCCCGACUACGAAUACCUGAGGAAUCUCUUCAACGAUUUGUACGAGAAACGGGGUUUUGUCAACGAUGAAGAAUUCGACUGGACUGGCAAGACGAUGCCACACAACUUCGACCAGCUUAAAACUCUGAAGAUGGCACCUCCCUCUCACAUUGGGAAAACUAAAUCCGAAAAGUCUACACCUGUCGGAUCCUUGCAGACUGGACAAGAGAUUAUUGUAUCUCCAAAUCGUGAUCGGCAUCCGUACAAAGAUGUGACAGAACCAGGGGUGGGAGGCGGGGGCGGUAAAUGGGUGGGAACCUCGAGGACAGAUACUGCGAAGCAAUCAGGAGCUGGUGGUACAUUGACACCCGCUGAUAGGCACGGUUCUGUUCAGGUGGUAUCUUCGACGAAUGGAGAACUAGCCAAUGAUGAUCCUACAGCAGGACAUUCUAAUACGCCAAUUACUGCGCCUCAAGAAGUAGACAUGGUCGACGAAACGAAUGUUUGGUUUAUUUGCAGAUGCUGUUGUUUCUUCAAACGGAAGAAGAAGAAAAGUGGAAGACAAAAGUGACUGUCUGUUAUCGUCAGUCUUGGGGGGGACAAUACAGUGCGCGUGUAACAGAAGUGCAGAUGAAGUUUUUUUUUUUGGAGAAUGUGUUGCGGCAGUGCGUGAAAGGACCAUGGACAAGAAAAGAUGCAGCCGAUCCGCAAUAGGGGAGGCCGUUACCUUGCUACGUGCCGGAAGUCGAUCCGCUUCUCAAGAUUCGGUGCUGCACAUCAUCGUCACGAUGUCACGCCUCCGUCGUUAUCAAAUUAAACCACAGCCAUCAUUAUUAUCGCUAUUAUUACUACUAUUAUUAUCAUUAUUAUUAUCACGAUUAACUUUGCUCUUCUUCUUUUUCUUCUUACGAUUAUUAUUACGAUCACUAUUAUAAUAUUAUAUUAUUACUAUAUUAUUUUAUUAUUUUAUUAUUAUUAUUAUUAUUAUUAUUAUUAUUAUCGUUUAUGAUUAUCAUCGUCAUUUCGUGUACGAUCAUCGUUCAAAUGAAAGAAAAGAACAUCGUUUGUCAAUGUCGAUGUUAGCGAAUAUAUUGUAAACUUGUGACUGAAGAUAGUCGAGCCGUUGAUUUUCGAUCGUUUAAUACCGGCAAAUUGGUCUGCCCACGUAACACGCAUAUGCAAGAGAGUAAGGAAUUGACGUACGGAUGGCGAAAGAACGUGUUUGUGCCUCUCAUCUUGUUCCGCGGUGGCGCGCUUUUCAACACGUCAUCAUUGCGAAAUGUGUUACGAUAUAUGUGUAUUAAAUCGUAAAAGAAUUGAAGCUGAAGAUCUCAUUUUACUCAAAGUCCCGGAUAACGAGCGUAGCGUACUCCUGCUUGUAUCGAAGUUUAUAACACUUAUGAAGUCUGAUCGACUGGAAAGGCAUGAAACUGAAAGAGUAAACACGUUCGCGUCUGCUUAACUCGUGUCAGUUUCCAAGCGCGUUUGAUACAAUGGCGUUCUUCAAAUUCGUGAUCGUGUAAGCUGCCUUUCCUUUGUUUUCCUUUCCAAUGACUACGAGAAAUAAACAAUCGAGUCGAAUCGAAAUUCGCAUAACGCGUAGAACGUGUUUUCAGAGUUCUUUCUCUCGUUUUCCAAAUUUUCGAAUAUUUUUUUUUUUUUCUCGUCGUUGUUCCCAUUAAUUAUCUAACGAAUAUUUCUUGUUUAAUGAAAAAUUACCCUUUUACGUUUAUUUUGUACGAUACACGAAGUAUAACAGUAUUAACGCUAUCUAGUAGAUAGCAGCAGAUUCGUGCUAAAUUGCACUUAUCGCGUUUUAGUUAACAAUUUUUAACUAAUUUUAUUUUACGCCUACACUGCCUGUUGUUAUUCUAUAUAAGUAUCACAAUUAUAUAUGAAAUCCUUACACCUACUGUACAUAAAAUGUAUCAAGAAUUACAUAUUUUGCUACGAAGCUGCACAUACUUUGUAUCGAAUAUUUCAGUUAAUCGCAUAUCAUUUAACGAGCUUCGUAGAAAAAAAAACCUCGAAAUGGUUGUUAAUAUAUAUUCUAAAGUGGAAGGAUAAUGCGAUCGCAAUUCUAAAUUGUCCGAUUUCGGUUUCAUGCCUUCCAUGAAUUCAUUAUGUAAAAGCUUAUACGUCGCAGGAAUCAUACAAAUUACAUUUUACAUUACAUAUCGAAACAAAUAAAAGAGAAAUUAAAAAUUUUCGUCUGUAGAGUCUGAUAUCUACCAUGAAAAUUGAAUAGAACGUAGAUCAAGAUAUUAUACACAUGUAUUCGAUAUAAUUGAUCCGUGUUCUAUCAAAACACGAAGAUUCGGGAAACUUUCUUGAAUCGUAUCUUAUCAUCUAGAAAAGGAUCCGUUCAUUUCGGACAAACUUUUUUAUUCUUGAAACACGUGUGUUAAAAAAAAAAAAAAAGAUAAUUAUUAGAAUUGUAACAAAAAAAGAGAACCAAAGUAUGCUUGUAAUUGAAUAUACAUCAAUAUAGAUUUGAUUUUAAAGCAAUAAAAAGAACUUUUACCGUCUCUGUUUAACUCUAUCAAACGGAAUUUCCUUGGAACGAAUCAUUGUUUGCUAGAUCGACGCGAACGAUAUUGAAUUUAAAACCAAAAAAAAAAAAAAAAAAAAAACGAAAAAAAAAUAAAAUAAAAAAAACAAUAUAAAAAUGUACGUGACAUAGAUAUAGAAUAUUGUGCACUUGGGGAGAACUUUGUUCAGGGCUUAUUUAAUAUGUUUGUUCCACGAAGUUAACAAGAAGAAGAGCGUUGCGACGUGAUAUAUUUGAAUCCUCGUGGAUGUUUUGAAAAUUCAUCCAAGCAGUGAAGAGAUACUUAAAUGAAAUGAAAAUGCGCGCGAAGACGAAGGAGAAAAGAAUCUUAUCAGCCUUGCCGAUUAAACGAGCAAGAAUAUAUUAAGAGGCAAUGUAAUUGACAAAUUGUCUGCGCGUGAAGAUGGCGAAUACUAAGAUUAUCGUGUCCGAAGGUCCGAACUUCUACUAGUCUGGCCAACGAUUGCGUACCACUGCCGAGCCAUAUGAUGUACCGUGUUAGUGUACCGUGAGUGCCCGUACACGUUUCAAUAUUUAAUGGCCAAGCACAUCCGACGACGAGACGUUCGAUGUACUUAGAGCGAACGAGAGUGAAAGAGCGAGAAAGAAAAAGCAGGAUUAAAAGAGAGAGUGUAUCAUGAUUUAUAGUAAAAAAAAAAAAAAAAAAAAAAA